Molecule: non-coding RNA, 890 nt
Organism: Chlorocebus sabaeus (green monkey)
Lineage: Eukaryota; Metazoa; Chordata; Mammalia; Primates; Cercopithecidae
Source: RefSeq, a predicted model, not a curated record
AUGGACCCAGGACCUGUGGCAAUAAGAGUGGUGCUGAGGAUUGGCAGUGCCUACUUAUGCCAUCGGCUGCGUGUGGGCUACAGGAGCAGGCAGGGCGGUGCGGUCUGUGCUUCAGUUGCUUGCAUAUCAACGCCACUCUACAUCGAUGACAUCAUCAUCACCACCCGUGUGGAGGAAGAUAUGACCGAUUUCUCCUGGGAGAUCACUGGAUCCCUCAUUCAGGUGGACUGCUGCAGGACGACACUUUUUCCAGGGGUGACCCAGGCCUGCAGGGUCCCAGUGUCACAGGGCUUCUUCCCCUCUGCCCUCCAAGCCUUAAGCAUGGCGUUUCUCCAUGGGAUCUGGGGGAAGCGGGCUGGUCUCAGGACAGAGAGAGGCGCUCCACAACACCCCACUCUGCCUCUGCCAUCUCUCAUCCCCUCCUCUGUCCACACAGGUCAGCCCAAGGCCACUCCCUCGGUCACUCUGUUCCCGCCAUCCUCUGAGGAGCUCCAAGCCAACAAGGCCACGCUGGUGUGUCACAAGAGUGACUUAUAUCCGGGAAUCUUGACGGUGACCUGGAAGGCAGAUGGUACCCCCAUCACCCAGGGUGUGGAGAUGACCACACCCUCCAAACAGCAAGAAGUACGCAGCCAGCAGCUACCUGAGCCUGACGCCCGAGCAGUGGAGGUCCCGCAGAAGGUACAGCUGCCAGGUCACACAUGAAGGGAGCACCGUGGAGAAGACAGUGGCCUCUGCAGAAUGUUCGUAGGUUCCCAACCCUCACCCCACCCACAGGGGCCUGGAGCUGCAGGAUCCCAGGGGAGGGGUCUCUCUACAUCCCAAGUCAUCCAGCCUUUCUCCCUGUACCCAGUAAACCCUCAAUAAAUAUCCUCUUGGUCAACCAGAAA